CACAUUCGCAAAAGGCACUUUACUACAGAGACUCCCCCGGGGCUCCUCAGCCUCUCCAAGACCCUGAGCCCCGCACACCCCUCCUCCACCGGCGGCCAGCCUCGGGGGCAGUGUCCAGGCUCAGGGAGUAAGGAGGGGCCGCCAGAGUCCGCGCCAGGAGCAGCGGGUCCGGUCAGGGGCCGAGGCCGGUUCGCCCAGGCAACUGCGGGGUCCGUGCAGCCGGUGCAGCCGCAGUGGCCGCGGCUCGCGGUAACUAAUGCUCCGAGACGCCCGACUAAACCCUCCAAAGCCAGGCGGUGUCAGCGCGAACGCUCGCGCCCGGGCGGCUGACGGAUGCGUCCCCGAGGAGCUCCGCGCCCGGGCGCCGGCACAACUAAUUAGAAGAAAGCCAGUGCCUCCUGCGGAUGAGCGAUACCGUUCUUGUUCUUGGACUGAUGAGUUUCUACUCGGAGGAACGGGGAUUUCGGCUGGUUACAGCACUCCCCCAUGGCUUCUAACCACAGACCUGAUUUUUGCCGCUUAA
RNAcentral lists this long non-coding RNA (523 nucleotides) under Chinchilla lanigera (long-tailed chinchilla). RNAcentral's name for it is "lncRNA (ENSCLAG00000027011.1)". The record is from RNAcentral. Lineage: Eukaryota; Metazoa; Chordata; Mammalia; Rodentia; Chinchillidae.